AACGAACGCUGGCGGCAUGCCUAACACAUGCAAGUCGAACGAGACCUUCGGGUCUAGUGGCGCACGGGUGCGUAACGCGUGGGAACCUGCCCUUAGGUUCGGAAUAACUCCCCGAAAGGGGUGCUAAUACCGGAUAAUGUCUUCGGACCAAAGAUUUAUCGCCUUUGGAUGGGCCCGCGUUGGAUUAGCUAGUUGGUAGGGUAAAAGCCUACCAAGGCGACGAUCCAUAGCUGGUCUGAGAGGAUGAUCAGCCACACUGGGACUGAGACACGGCCCAGACUCCUACGGGAGGCAGCAGUGGGGAAUAUUGGACGAUGGGCGAAUGCCUGAUCCAGCAAUGCCGCGUGAGUGAUGAAGGCCUUAGGGUUGUAAAGCUCUUUUAACCGGGAUGAUAAUGACAGUACCGGGAGAAUAAGCUCCGGCUAACUCCGUG
This 433-nucleotide ribosomal RNA is filed under the name uncultured bacterium. RNAcentral describes it as "partial 16S ribosomal RNA". It matches the Rfam family "Bacterial small subunit ribosomal RNA", at positions 29 to 507 of the family's 1533-position model. The record is from RNAcentral.